UUGGCGGAGAGGAGAGUGGAAUUCCCUGGGGAACGGGGAAAUGGCUAAAUUUUUGGAGGAACACCGGUGGCGAAAGCGGCUCUCUGGCCUGGAACUGACACUGAAGCUCGAAAGCGUGGGGAGCAAACAGGAUUAAAUACCCUGGUAAUCCACGCCGUAAACGAUGAGUGCUAAAUGUAGGGAGCUAUUAGUUCUCUGUAUCGCAGCUAACGCAAUAAACACUCCGCCUGGGGAGUACGACCGCAAGGUUGAAACUCAAAGGAAUUGACGGGGGCCCGCACAAGCGGUGGAGCAUGUGGUUUAAUUUCAAA
Molecule: ribosomal RNA, 311 nt
Filed under: uncultured bacterium
Lineage: Bacteria
Description: bacterial SSU rRNA
Rfam family: Bacterial small subunit ribosomal RNA
Source: RNAcentral